GUCGAACGCUGGCGGCGUGCUUAACACAUGCAAGUCGAACGGAAAAGCCGUGCUUUCGUCGGGUGCUCGAGUCGGGAAGGGGUGAGUAACACGUGAGUAUCCUGCCCUUGACUUUGGGAUAACUUCAGGAAACUGGGGCUAAUACAUGAUAGGAGCUCCUGAUGGAGGGGGGGGGUUGGAAAGUAUCGGCCGUAUGGGAUGGACUCGCGGCUUAUGAGCUUGUUGGUGGGGGAGUUGCUUACCAGGGCUUUGACGGGUAGCCGGCCUGAGAGGGUGACCAGGGACAUUGGGACUGAGGGACGGCCCAGAGCCCUACAGGAGACAGCAGUGGGAAAUAUUGCACAAUCGGCGGAAGCCUGAUGCAGCAACGCUCCGUUCGUGAUGCCGGCCAUCGGGUGAUAAAGGGCAGUCGCCUGUGACGAUGCGUUAUUGACGGUAAUGACUAAAGAAGCACCGGCUAACUACGUG
Molecule: ribosomal RNA, 468 nt
Filed under: uncultured bacterium
Lineage: Bacteria
Description: partial 16S ribosomal RNA
Rfam family: Bacterial small subunit ribosomal RNA
Source: RNAcentral